RNAcentral lists this ribosomal RNA (253 nucleotides) under uncultured bacterium. RNAcentral describes it as "partial 16S ribosomal RNA". It matches the Rfam family "Bacterial small subunit ribosomal RNA", at positions 524 to 776 of the family's 1533-position model. The record is from RNAcentral.
UACAGAGGUCCCGAGCGUUGUUCGGAUUCAUUGGGCGUAAAGGGUGCGUAGGCGGCGGGGCAAGUCUGAUGUGAAAUCCUGGGGCUCAACCUCAGAACUGCAUUGGAUACUGCCCUGCUAGAGUACUGGAGAGGGAACUGGAAUUUACGGUGUAGCAGUGAAAUGCGUAGAGAUCGUAAGGAAGGCCAGUGGCGAAGGCGAGGUCCUGGACAGUUACUGACGCUGAGGCACGAAGGCCAGGGGAGCAAACGGG